Molecule: ribosomal RNA, 850 nt
Filed under: uncultured Bacillota bacterium
Lineage: Bacteria; Bacillati; Bacillota
Description: bacterial SSU rRNA
Rfam family: Bacterial small subunit ribosomal RNA
Source: RNAcentral
AAAGUUCCCUUCGGGGAGCGAGUAGAGUGGCGCACGGGUGAGUAACACGUAGGUAAUCUACCUUUGGAUUGGGAAUAACACCGAGAAAUCGGUGCUAAUACCGAAUAAUGCAGCGGCACCUAAUGGUGACAGUUGUUAAAGCGGGGGAUCGCAAGACCUCGCGUCUAAAGAGGAGCCUGCGGCGGAUUAGCUAGUUGGUAAGGUAACGGCUUACCAAGGCGAUGAUCCGUAGCCGGCCUGAGAGGGCGGUCGGCCACACUGACACUGACAUACGGGUCAGACUCCUACGGGAGGCAGCAGUCGGGAAUUUUGGGCAAUGGGCGAAAGCCUGACCCAGCAACGCCGCGUGAAGGAUGAAAUCCCUCGGGAUGUAAACUUCGCAAGAACGGGAAGAAUAAGCCGGUGCUAACACCAUCGGCGAUGACGGUACUGUUUGUAAGCUCCGGCUAACUCCGUGCCAGCAGCCGCGGUAAUACGGGGGGAGCAAGCGUUGUUCGGAUUUACUGGGCGUAAAGGGCGCGUAGGCGGCCACCGCAAGUCGACUGUGAAAUCUCCGGGCUUAACUCGGAAAGGUCAGCCGAUACUGCGGGGCUAGAGUGCAGAAGGGGCAACUGGAAUUCUCCGUGUAGCGGUGAAAUGCGUAGAUAUCGAGAGGAACACCUGCGGCGAAGGCGGGUUGCUGGGCUGACACUGACGCUGAUUGUGCGAAAGCUAGGGGAGCGAACGGGAUUAGAUACCCCGGUAGUCCUAGCCUUAAACGAUGAAUGCUUGGUGUCUGGGGUUUUAUAGUCCCCGGGUGCCGUCGCUAACGCUUUAAGCAUUCCGCCUGGGGAGUACGGUCGCAAGACUG